Molecule: non-coding RNA, 270 nt
Organism: Vicia faba (fava bean)
Lineage: Eukaryota; Viridiplantae; Streptophyta; Magnoliopsida; Fabales; Fabaceae
Source: the annotation of a GenBank genome assembly
AUGAAGGACCUUGAGUCAAAAGAGAAGCAACAUGAAAGUCGAGCGAAGGAGCAUGAGUUAAAAGUGAGAGAAUUUGAAGGCCAAGUAAAGGAGCUGAAAUCUAAACACAUACAUUUUAAAAGCCAAGUGGAGGAGCUCAAAUUAAAAGAUAUGCAAUUGAAAGGAAAAGUCAAGGAAGUUGAGACCAAAGAGAAGCAACUUGAUGGCCGAGUGAAAGAGUUCCGGUCAAAAGAGGAGGAGUUCAAAGAUCAAGUAAAGGUGUUUGAAUAA